This 843-nucleotide ribosomal RNA is filed under the name uncultured Actinomycetales bacterium. Its description in RNAcentral is "bacterial SSU rRNA". It matches the Rfam family "Bacterial small subunit ribosomal RNA", at positions 58 to 925 of the family's 1533-position model. The record is from RNAcentral. Lineage: Bacteria; Bacillati; Actinomycetota; Actinomycetes; Actinomycetales.
UGAGUCGAACGGUGAAGCCCUUCGGGGUGGAUCAGUGGCGAACGGGUGAGUAACACGUGGGUAACCUGCCCUGAACUCUGGGAUAACUCCGGGAAACCGGGGCUAAUACCGGAUACGAGCCCGGUCCGCAUGGACCGGGUUGGAAAGUCUUUUCGGUUCAGGAUGGACCCGCGGCCUAUCAGCUUGUUGGUGGGGUAACGGCCUACCAAGGCUUUGACGGGUAGCCGGCCUGAGAGGGCGACCGGCCACACUGGGACUGAGACACGGCCCAGACUCCUACGGGAGGCAGCAGUGGGGAAUAUUGCACAAUGGGCGAAAGCCUGAUGCAGCGACGCCGCGUGAGGGAUGACGGCCUUCGGGUUGUAAACCUCUUUCAGCAGGGACGAAGCGCAAGUGACUGUACCUGCAGAAGAAGCAACGGCUAACUACGUGCCAGCAGCCGCGGUAAUACGUAGGGUGCGAGCGUUGUCCGGAUUUAUUGGGCGUAAAGAGCUUGUAGGCGGCUCGUCACGUCGGGUGUGAAAACCCGCGGCUCAACCGCGGGCCUGCACCCGAUACGGGCGGGCUAGAGUUCGGCAGGGGAGACUGGAAUUCCUGGUGUAGCGGUGGAAUGCGCAGAUAUCAGGAGGAACACCGGUGGCGAAGCGGGUCUCUGGGCCGAUACUGACGCUGAAAGCGAAAGCGUGGGGAGCGAACAGGAUUAAUACCCUGGUAGUCCACGCCGUAAACGUUGGGACUAGUGUGGGGUCCAUUCCACGGGCUCUGUGCCGCAGCUAACGCAUUAAUUCCCCGCCUGGGGAGUACCCGCAGGCUAAAACUCAAAGGAAUUGAGGGGGCCCCACG